This 427-nucleotide ribosomal RNA is filed under the name uncultured bacterium. RNAcentral describes it as "bacterial SSU rRNA". It matches the Rfam family "Bacterial small subunit ribosomal RNA", at positions 355 to 774 of the family's 1533-position model. The record is from RNAcentral.
UGGGGAAUUUUGGACAAUGGGCGCAAGCCUGAUCCAGCAAUGCCGCGUGCAGGAUGAAGGCCUUCGGGUUGUAAACUGCUUUUGUACGGAACGAAACGGUCUUUUCUAAUACAGAAGGCUAAUGACGGUACCGUAAGAAUAAGCACCGGCUAACUACGUGCCAGCAGCCGCGGUAAUACGUAGGGUGCAAGCGUUAAUCGGAAUUACUGGGCGUAAAGCGUGCGCAGGCGGUUAUGCAAGACAGAGGUGAAAUCCCCGGGCUCAACCUGGGAACUGCCUUUGUGACUGCAUAGCUAGAGUACGGUAGAGGGGGAUGGAAUUCCGCGUGUAGCAGUGAAAUGCGUAGAUAUGUGGAGGAACACCGAUGGCGAAGGCAGCCCCCUGGGUCAAGAUUGACGCUCAUGCACGAAAGCGUGGGGAGCAAACA